ACAACCCAUUGCAGCCCACAUCAGUACCCUACUGAGGGACACUCAGCCCCAGCACCUUCCUCCCUAUGGAGGCUCCUCCACCACCAGAUAGAACACCCCAAGCCCAGCUCGUUCCUCUGCAGGGACCCCAGCCCUCAAACACCUUUCUCCUCAUGAACACUACCCUACACCUAUACCCCUCUGCAGGGAAACCCACCCUCCCAGAGUAGCUUUCAUGCUCUUCCCUGUUGUGUCUCCUACCAUCUCCCACAGGUUGCACUUUCCUGACCCCUCCUCAAGCAGCCCAAACAUUCCUUCCUUUGGGACUCAGCUUUGCUGCCGCCCCUCCCCCACCAAAACCCUCCUCCCACCUCAAUCCAGGAAAAUACAGUAUGAGGCUGUACAGUUUUCCCUGCUGAGCCCUCUCAAACCUACCCUGAAAGCACAGCUCCAAUGAAGCCACACUGCCAGGAACAAGGUGAACCACCAGGAGCAGACUGAAGAGGCAAAGAUUGUCUCCUGGCUUCUCACUCUCCAGGAUUCUCCAGCAGGAUUCCCUGGCCCCGUAAGAAGAGAGACAGCACCAUCUAGCUUGAAAGGCCACGCAGAAUGACUGAAGAGACAAUUUUGAUGACCUCUCUGGAAUCCUUAUACCAACAAUAAAAACAGAAUUUUUUGAGGACAACAGUGAAGGUCAAUUAUAAGAAUUUGGAAUAGCUUCAAAAACAACAUUCCAGUGCAGCAGACUGAAAGUCCAGGGCAAUUUUAGUUUCGGCAGAAAUGAAUGUGAUGUCAUAACGCAAAUGGAUAUAUCUGGGAAGGAGGAUGCCAUCUAACUACAGACAACUACAGCACCACCAGAGGAGAUGGGAGAACUGGCUGCUCCGCGAGGAGGAGAUUGGCUGCUAGCUAUCAAGACCAAGAACUGGUAUGCUGUACUGGCAACAGCAGGUGGUGAGGCAAAUGUAACAGUCACUGUUUCUGUGAGAACAUUCCCACCGUCUGUGGUCCACUGGAGCUGAAAGGAAAAAGACCUCAGUUCUCAGAAAUGGGACGGGUGCUGAGCAGGAUUCCCUACAAUACUGGCUGGAACGUGAACUCAAGGUUCUGCAUGUAUCCUGCAAAAAGCAGACAACAUCAGAAACUCCUAAGAAGGGUAAAGGAAUUCUGUGCCGUGCCGUGCCCUGCUUUAGGUGGGAUCACCAGCUAUCACAGGAGAACCAGUCUUGGCAGAUAUUAAAAAACCAAACAAACUUUUCAGCUCUUGUGUAAAGUACAUUUGUGAAUUAAGCUCUUAAAUACAGUAUGUUUUUACCUAUUUUUUUAAACUAAACAU
Molecule: long non-coding RNA, 1315 nt
Organism: Mauremys reevesii (Reeves's turtle)
Lineage: Eukaryota; Metazoa; Chordata; Testudines; Geoemydidae
Exons: 6
Source: RefSeq, a predicted model, not a curated record